This 84-nucleotide transfer RNA is filed under the name Echinostoma caproni. It matches the Rfam family "tRNA". From Rfam's summary of the family: Transfer RNA (tRNA) molecules are approximately 80 nucleotides in length. Their secondary structure includes four short double-helical elements and three loops (D, anti-codon, and T loops). Further hydrogen bonds mediate the characteristic L-shaped molecular structure. tRNAs have two regions of fundamental functional importance: the anti-codon, which is responsible for specific mRNA codon recognition, and the 3' end, to which the tRNAs corresponding amino acid is attached (by aminoacyl-tRNA synthetases). tRNAs cope with the degeneracy of the genetic code in two manners: having more than one tRNA (with a specific anti-codon) for a particular amino acid; and 'wobble' base-pairing, i.e. permitting non-standard base-pairing at the 3rd anti-codon position. The record is from Rfam by way of RNAcentral. Lineage: Eukaryota; Metazoa; Platyhelminthes; Trematoda; Plagiorchiida; Echinostomatidae.
GGCCUCGUAGCUCAGCUGGUAGAGUGUACGCGAUAUAAAAGCAUAGGUAACUUCCAUAGGUGGGUUCGAAUCCCACCGAGACUA